This 72-nucleotide transfer RNA is filed under the name Bos taurus (domestic cattle). It matches the Rfam family "tRNA". From Rfam's summary of the family: Transfer RNA (tRNA) molecules are approximately 80 nucleotides in length. Lineage: Eukaryota; Metazoa; Chordata; Mammalia; Artiodactyla; Bovidae. The record is from Rfam by way of RNAcentral. RNAcentral also lists the same sequence under 4 other names.
UCCCUAGUGGCUCAGAUGGUAAAGAAUCUGCCUGCAACACAAGAGGCCCAGGUUCGAUCCCUGGCUCGGGAA